UACAAUGUCUUGACUCUUCAUCUUAUUUAUAUUUUUUUGCGAUUAAUAUUUUUAUUUUUACUAGAUGAUAAAAUAUGAAUAGUAUUUUAUGCGUGACUAUUUUUUUAAGUUUUUUAACAAACUUUUUUCAAAUAAGACGAAUGGUCAAACAUUGGAUACGAAAAAAC
Molecule: microRNA precursor, 167 nt
Filed under: Oryza brachyantha (malo sina)
Lineage: Eukaryota; Viridiplantae; Streptophyta; Magnoliopsida; Poales; Poaceae
Description: MIR812 microRNA precursor family
Rfam family: MIR812 microRNA precursor family
Source: Rfam by way of RNAcentral